UGUGCGUCGGGGGCUGACCUGCGGGCGGGCUCCGCGCAUCCCGCCUGGCGCGUGCUCUGCAGCCUGACAAAGCUCUGCAUUGCAAUAAAGUCAGCUAAUCCAGCACCUGCCUGUAUGAAGAAGGCUUCCUCUGGCUUGAUGAAUACGGCGCAUUCUAACCUGGCUGGGAGUUGCA
Long non-coding RNA from Myotis davidii, 175 nucleotides. RefSeq lists it as uncharacterized. The record is from RefSeq and is a predicted model, not a curated record. The transcript has 3 exons. NCBI's taxonomy places the organism in Eukaryota, Metazoa, Chordata, Mammalia, Chiroptera, Vespertilionidae.